RNAcentral lists this unclassified non-coding RNA (334 nucleotides) under uncultured fungus. Its description in RNAcentral is "sequence contains ITS1". The stretch from base 1 to 105 matches the Rfam family "5.8S ribosomal RNA", at positions 50 to 154 of the family's 154-position model. Lineage: Eukaryota; Fungi. The record is from RNAcentral.
CAAAUGCGAUAAAUAGUGCGAACUGCAGAUAUUCUGAGCACUAAGAUUUCGAAUGCACAUUGCGCCAUUGGGCUUUUGCUCUUUGGCACAUCUGGUUCAGGGUCGUAUAUGCCAAACAGAUGCUAUUCUGUUGAGUAAGGCAAGUUCAAUUCAAUGUUAAACGGAGAUUGCCGAUUUGAAUUGUACUCGCAAUGCAUAACUGGCUUGCUGGCUAAAAUACACUGGUUCUCUGUCUUGGAUAAUUUAGACGUAGAGCCGUGCUGUGUUUCUGCUAAGCGAAAAAAGCCCUCGAUUAUUCGACCUGAACUCAGUUGUGACUACCCGCUGAACUUAA